This 429-nucleotide ribosomal RNA is filed under the name Fusobacteriota bacterium. Its description in RNAcentral is "Fusobacteria bacterium partial 16S ribosomal RNA". It matches the Rfam family "Bacterial small subunit ribosomal RNA", at positions 355 to 776 of the family's 1533-position model. Lineage: Bacteria; Fusobacteriati; Fusobacteriota. The record is from RNAcentral.
UGGGGAAUAUUGCGCAAUGGGCGAAAGCCUGACGCAGCGACGCCGCGUGAGGGAUGAAGGUUUUCGGAUCGUAAACCUCUGUCAGAAGGGAAGAAACCGCACUGUGCUAAUCAGCAGUGCCUUGACGGUACCUUCAAAGGAGGCACCGGCUAACUCCGUGCCAGCAGCCGCGGUAAUACGGAGGGUGCAAGCGUUAAUCGGAAUUACUGGGCGUAAAGCGCACGUAGGCUGCUUUGUAAGUCAGGGGUGAAAUCCCACGGCUCAACCGUGGAACUGCCUUUGAUACUGCUUAGCUUGAAUCCGGGAGAGGGUGGCGGAAUUCCAGGUGUAGGAGUGAAAUCCGUAGAUAUCUGGAGGAACAUCAGUGGCGAAGGCGGCCACCUGGACCGGUAUUGACGCUGAGGUGCGAAAGCGUGGGGAGCAAACAGG